UUAAGUCUAAACCAAGAAGACGUGUUUCAAAAGCAAAACGUGGAAUUAAAUUGAAUACAUGCAAUGCAAGGGUACACAGUCAAAACCACCCAUUUAAUUCUCCUGCAAACACCUUUUUUUCUCACAAUAAGUGUCAGCUUUUGAAGCAUGGUCCUUAAUUCGAGCAUAUCACGUGGUGAAGCUAUAGCUACCUCCAUAUUGAAGAACAAGAAUUUUCUCUAAUCCAAAGAGAAGAACACCUUUUGUUUUGUUAACUAGGUCGUUGCAUAGUCUAAGGAACGGAAUGUUACACUUUUAAUUACUAGCUAUAUACCUCCAUAUUUCCCGCACCAUUUAUAUAUAUGUUCAUAAUUAAAAUAAUAUUAUUAUACUACUAGUUGUCAAGUAGAAUUGAAGUGGAAUUAAUGAGGUUUGGUGAAAUUUC
RNAcentral lists this long non-coding RNA (424 nucleotides) under Cicer arietinum (chickpea). Its description in RNAcentral is "long non-coding RNA (CARI_LNC002183)". Lineage: Eukaryota; Viridiplantae; Streptophyta; Magnoliopsida; Fabales; Fabaceae. The record is from RNAcentral.